Molecule: long non-coding RNA, 2572 nt
Organism: Mandrillus leucophaeus (drill)
Lineage: Eukaryota; Metazoa; Chordata; Mammalia; Primates; Cercopithecidae
Exons: 2
Source: RefSeq, a predicted model, not a curated record
UUUGAAAUUUUUAAUAUAGUGAAAAAUUGGAUUUAACUGGAGAGUUUGAGGACAUUUUUAAGUUAUAAAUGCACCAUUUGAAUAAUUUAAUUGGCAUAAUUGGGAUGUACUCUACACAGUUUAUAGGAUUAAAUUAGUGAGUUAGUAAUGUUUGUAUGAAAGAAAUGUUAUUAGAUUCUACCACCAUGAAAUCAGUUAGAAUAGGUAAAGCAUUAAUAAUGGUAGGCUGUAUAUCAUAAUCACUAUAUAAAGAAACAUCAGAAUAUGGAAACCCCUUAAGCAAAAAUAUAUCUUAGAAAUCUUAAGGACACUUAAUGGCAAGCAAAAAAGUUUAAAUUUAGUUUUUUAUAAAUUACAUAUAGCACACUUUAUGUGUACAUGUAGAAUUUUUUAGUUUUUAGUGUUUAUGUAAUAUAUUAGACAAUAAUAAACAUUUACAUUUAUGUUUACAUUUACAUUUAAUUUUUUGAAUUUAAUUUAAAUUUUUUAAUGCUUCUGUGGAUUUAAAAUUUGGAAUAAUCUUUUCUUCCCCAUUGAUACUGGAAUCUUGGGAAGUUUCUUACUCAUAUCACAGUAUGUUUUAUUUAAAUGGGUGCAGCUUACAUUGCAGAGUUUAUAUAAAUAAUCACAUAACUCGCCAAUUCCUUAGUCAUUUUCUGUAUUAAAAAACUCAGAGAUCUAGAGAGCUUUUGGAUUGAAGUAUUUCCUUGGUGAUUUUGAAUGCAAACCUGAUUUCUGUGUUCACACCAUGGCCAGAGAUGGGACUGUUAGCACCACCUGCUUCUUUAAUGUCAUCCAUAUGAUUAGCAUCAGCACCAGAAACUCCAGGUGUCCCAAACUUAAAGUGAAAGCCAUCGAGUUCAUUGGUGACUCCCAUGUUCUGUGCUGGUUCUAGAACAUGCUGGUGAAUAUUAGAGUUUCUAUGCUUAUGGCUGAUAAGUGGACAUUUUUAAAAAUCAUAAAAACUGUAUUUUCUAUAUAGUUCAGCUAAGUUUAAAAAGAUGCAGACUUGGUAUUUGGAGCAUUGUUUUUGCUCCAUGAUGUGUUUAAAAAUUAUUUUUAAAUUGGCAAAAUUAUAUAUAUACAUAUAUAUAUACAUAUAACACAUGAUGUUUGAAAUGCUUGAUUCUAGCUAAUUAAAAACGCUUUACCUCAAUGGUUAUUUUUAUUGUGAGAAUGCUCAACACUGUCUUGGCACUUUAAAAAAAAAUACAAUAUAUUCUCAAUAACUGUAGUCACUCUGCACUACAAUAGGUCUCUUGAACUAAUUCCUCCUAGCUUAACAGGCAUUGUUUAUCAUUUAACAGAUAAUUCUCUAAGCCCCUUUCUCCUAAAACUUCAGCAUCUCUUAACCUUCUUCCUAGUCUCUAAUGAGAUCAACUUGUUUAGAUUCCACAUGAGUGAGACUGUGAGGUAUUCAUCUUUCUGUGUUCUGCUCCAUUGGUCUAUUUAUCUGUUUUUAAUGCCAGUAUUGGACUGUUUUAGUUGCUGUAGCUUUCAGUAUAUUCAACUGUCAAGUAGUACAAUGCUUCCAGCUUUCAGAAUCUUUUGCUCUACUAUAUGAAUUUUAGGUUUUUUUGUUUUUGUGAAAAAAUCUAUUGAUAUUUUAUAGACAUUAUGUUAAAUAUAUACACCAUUUUGUGUAACAUAGACUUUUUAGCAAUAUUAAUUUGGCCAAUUAUAAGGGAUAACUUUUCAUUUAUUUGUGUUUAAUUUUAUACCUCAAUUUUCUUUAGCUUUUAAUAUAGAGAUCUUUAACAUUUUUUAAUAAUUUUAUUGGGAAGUAAACUUUUUGUAACUAUUACAGGUGUCAAUUGUUUUCUUUAUUUCUUUUUCAGAUAGUUUGUUGUUAGUAUAUAGAAAUGCUACUCACUCUUAUAUCUUGAUUUUGUAUCCUGCAACUUUAGUGAAUUUAUUCUAAGUGUUUUUAAAGUUUUCUAUUCAUAAGACUAUGAUAUCUGCAAACAGGGAUAAUUAUUUUCUUUCUUUCCAAUUUGGCUAACUUUGGUUUUGUUCUCUAAUUGCUCUGACUUGGAAAUUCAGUAGCAUGUUAAAUAAGAGUGAUGAAAUUAGGUAUCUUUGCCUUACUAUCGAUCUACUGUCUUUGCCUCUUUAAAAAAAAGCUUACAACUUUUGAAGGUUUAUCAUGAUGUCAGAUAUCCAUUUGUCAUAUAUGGCCUUUAUUGGCUUGAGGUAUGUAUGUUCUAUAUGUAAUUUCUUUUGAGAUUUUGUCAUAAAGUAAUGUUGAAUUUUCUAAAAUUCUUUUUCUGCAUUCACUUAAAAGUUAUAAUUGGUUUUGAGAUCCUUCAUCUUUGUCAGAAUCUAGGAGGAUGCAUCUAUACCUAGAGGAGGACACGAAGGCAUCAUAUGUUACAUUCUCGUGACAUAUAAUGUCUACUGCUGAUAAUGUCUACUGUGAGUUUCUGACUCCCCAAAUGAAAUUGAGGCCCAGAAACUCUCAACUGCUUUGUUCAUUGAAUAAUGCCAAGUGUCUGGAAAUGUGACUGUUCAGAUUAGAUGCUUAAUGUGUGUGUGUAUUGACUAAAUAAAUCUCAACCAGAACCGUCUCAGA